AGAAAGAAAGAAGGAUAAAUAAGAGAAACCUUCAACUGCCUGUUUGAAUAAGCACUCUGUCUCUCGUGACCAGCAAGUGCUUUUCAUUCGUCUCGUCACACAAGAAGUCUUAUCUGUUAACCCUAGAACAAUAUAUUUAGUUUGGAAGGGAAGUUUGGAGCUCUCUGACCCAUUCCCCUGCUCAAAACAGGUCAAAUUACUUCAGGUUGCCUAGGAUCUUACUCAGAUAUUGCAAUGGCCUCCCAUGUCAUAAGGGGCACUUACUGAAUUUAAAGAUGUCAUAAGCCAGAAGCUCUCCUGCUCACUUCAUAUCACAGUGAAUUCCAACUCAACAGCACUGGCAGCAGCAGCAGAACAGCACUGUGGAGCUCUAAAGUUCACUGAUGAGUGUUAGCUGAGGUCAGUCCUGGACAGCAGCAAUGAAAAUUUCACAGG
This is a long non-coding RNA of Passer domesticus (house sparrow), 435 nucleotides long. RefSeq lists it as uncharacterized. The transcript is spliced from 3 exons. Lineage: Eukaryota; Metazoa; Chordata; Aves; Passeriformes; Passeridae. The record is from RefSeq and is a predicted model, not a curated record.